This 449-nucleotide ribosomal RNA is filed under the name uncultured bacterium. RNAcentral's name for it is "partial 16S ribosomal RNA". It matches the Rfam family "Bacterial small subunit ribosomal RNA", at positions 29 to 523 of the family's 1533-position model. The record is from RNAcentral.
AGCGAACGCUGGCGGCAGGCUUAACACAUGCAAGUCGAACGGGCACUUCGGUGUCAGUGGCAGACGGGUGAGUAACACGUGGGAACGUACCUUUUGGUUCGGAACAACUGAGGGAAACUUCAGCUAAUACCGGAUAAGCCCUUACGGGGAAAGAUUUAUCGCCGAAAGAUCGGCCCGCGUCUGAUUAGCUAGUUGGUAGGGUAAUGGCCUGCCAAGGCGACGAUCAGUAGCUGGUCUGAGAGGAUGAUCAGCCACAUUGGGACUGAGACACGGCCCAAACUCCUACGGGAGGCAGUAGUGAGGAAUAUUGGACAAUGGGGGCAACCCUGACCCAGCCAUGCCGCGUGAGUGAUGAAGGCCCUAGGGUUGUAAAGCUCUUUUGUGCGGGAAGAUAAUGACGGUACCGCAAGAAUAAGCCCCGGCUAACUUCGUGCCAGCCGCCGCGGUAA